Parelaphostrongylus tenuis is the source of this 74-nucleotide non-coding RNA. NCBI's taxonomy places the organism in Eukaryota, Metazoa, Nematoda, Chromadorea, Rhabditida, Metastrongylidae. The record is from the annotation of a GenBank genome assembly.
GCUGCCAUAACUCAACAGGUCAGAGCGUGGGUCCAGUAAGCCCAAGGUCGCAGGUUCGACCCCUGCUGACAGCA